RNAcentral lists this ribosomal RNA (619 nucleotides) under uncultured marine eukaryote. RNAcentral describes it as "SSU rRNA". It matches the Rfam family "Eukaryotic small subunit ribosomal RNA", at positions 619 to 1258 of the family's 1831-position model. The record is from RNAcentral.
UUAAAAAGCUCGUAGUCGGAUUUUGGCUGAGAACGGUCGGUCCGCCGUUAGGUGUGCACUGACUGGUCUCAGCUUCCUGGUGAGGAGGUGUGCUUCAUCGCCACUUAGUCACCGUGGUUACUUUGAAAAAAUUAGAGUGUUCAAAGCGGGCUUACGCUUGAAUAUAUUAGCAUGGAAUAACACCAUAGGACUCCUGUCCUAUUUCGUUGGUCUCGGGACGGGAGUAAUGAUUAAGAGGAACAGUUGGGGGCAUUCGUAUUUCAUUGUCAGAGGUGAAAUUCUUGGAUUUAUGAAAGACGAACUUCUGCGAAAGCAUUUGCCAAGGAUGUUUUCAUUGAUCAAGAACGAAAGUUGGGGGCUCGAAGAUGAUUAGAUACCAUCCUAGUCUCAACCAUAAACGAUGCCGACUAGGGAUUGGCGGAUGUUAAUUGAUGACUUCGCCAGCACCUUAUGAGAAAUCAAAGUUUUUGGGUUCCGGGGGGAGUAUGGUCGCAAGGCUGAAACUUAAAGGAAUUGACGGAAGGGCACCACCAGGCGUGGAGCCUGCGGCUUAAUUUGACUCAACACAGGGAAACUUACCAGGUCCAGACAUAGUAAGGAUUGACAGAUUGAGAGCUCU